Molecule: non-coding RNA, 46 nt
Filed under: Schistosoma margrebowiei
Lineage: Eukaryota; Metazoa; Platyhelminthes; Trematoda; Strigeidida; Schistosomatidae
Source: RNAcentral
GCACUGCUGACGAGACCCAUACUAGGACGAAACGGCCGUCCAGUGU